Molecule: ribosomal RNA, 429 nt
Filed under: uncultured Anaerolineaceae bacterium
Lineage: Bacteria; Bacillati; Chloroflexota; Anaerolineae; Anaerolineales; Anaerolineaceae
Description: bacterial SSU rRNA
Rfam family: Bacterial small subunit ribosomal RNA
Source: RNAcentral
UUGGUUUAAUUCGAUGCUAACACGAAGUAACCUUACCAGGGUUUGACAUACAAGUAGUAGGAAAGGAAACUUGGACCGACCCUUCGGGGAGCUUGUACAGGUGCUGCAUGGCUGUCGUCAGCUCGUGUCGUGAGAUGUUCGGUUAAGUCCGCUAACGAGCGCAACCCUCGUCGUAUGUUAUAUGUGUCAUACGAGACUGCCGGUAAAAGCCGGAGGAAGGUGAGGAUGAUGUCAAGUCAGCAUGACCUUUAUAUCCAGGGCUACACACACGCUACAAUGGUCUGUACAAUGGGUAGCCAAGCCGCGAGGCGGAGCCAAUCCUGAAAGCAGGCCUCAGUUCAGAUUGCAGUCUGCAACUCGACUGCAUGAAGCCGGAGUUGCUAGUAACCGCAGGUCAGCAAUACUGCGGUGAAUACGUUCCCGGGUCUU